GGUCCAGGUUUGGCUGCUCUGGAAGCUGAGCUAGUGAUGAUUAUGUUAUCCCUGGCUGAAUUUAAUCUUUCCUCUGUGGAAGCAUGACUCUGAGGCUCAGCGUUAAAGACACAAAGGUAAAAGCAAAGUCUGUUACAUGAACUAGCUCUGUCCCCUUCCUCUGCUUCAGAGCAUGGCAUGGCAUCGAGCAAGGGUGAAAACACUCACCUGCCUGGGCAGCUGAUUCCUUCGCUGGACUGACAGCAAACCUGCACGAUGGUGAGAAACAUCAGCACCCAUCUCAUCAUAGUCAAAUUUUGCCCCAUUGCUGGGCUAUGGAAGAGGAAAUCGUUCUGCAGAAUCCUGGGGUUGUACCAACUCCCAAAGACAGCUUUGGCAAGAGGGCAGCUGAAGAUCAAUAACAUUCACCGACAGGCUUGAACUGGCAAACUUGACGACAAUGGACUUCCUUAUGAAAUUAAGAAGCGACAGAAGGAAGAUUGUCCUGGAGUGGGUCACGCAAGAUACCAAUACAUCGUGUGAAAUGGCCACCUGUGCGUAACUGCAGGCUCCUCCUCGCCACUCAGUGCUUGCUGCAACCGCGUCACGGGACCUGAUCUACAGGUGGCUGGAGGAAAAUGUGGUUCCUUACUGUCUUCUGUUCCAGAAUAAAAUAAGUUAUGGAAAAGUUUACGUUGGUUUUUGGUUGGUUUUUUUUUUUUGGAAAGGUUAUCUACUUGAACAGAAAUGGUUCUGAGCAGGUAGGAAGGAUUUGGGGUUAAAAUGCUUGGCGGUUGUGAGCUUACCCUUCAUAGCAAAACUUGCUCCUCCCUGAUACCUAAAGACUUCGGUGUCUGCAGACACUGAAAGUUGAAGAAAAGCAAUUCAUGUGCCAAAACUACUUAGGGCGAAGCUGGGGCUGGUGACACAAAUCUCGUGGUCUGCUUGGAAGCUCAAGGAUAAGGGAGAAGAAGCGAGCGGCCAUAGCACAGCCAUCAGGUUCCUUGUCUGCUUAGCCCUUAAAAUGGAGUGUGUUUAACUCCAGGGCUCGGCUACACCCUUGGCUAAAAACCCUUCCUUUUUGAAAUGGGAAGGGAGGGUGUGCGCUGUAGUUCCUGAUGCGCACAAAGAGCUGCCCGUGAGCUGGAUGGGAUUCCUGGCAGGAUGCUGCCCUGUGACAACACUCAUUUCUAAAACCUGUUCUUUUUGUCAGGGUGCUGCUAAUUGCCAUUGCCUGCAUGGGCUGUGCUGAGGCUUGGCUGCAGCUGGUUCUAGGAAGUUUUAGUGCUCUCGGUCAGGUGAUGUGAGGAUCAGGCUCAUUCUUGUCAUGAAAGAGGCUUUGCUGAGUGCUUGCAAAUAAAAACAAAAAAAAAAAAAACCAAAAACACCCAGGCCUAACAGGCUGCCUUGGUACCAUUGUAAGGUGGCUCCGAUGAGAACAAAGGUUAAUUUGAGACCUGGGAACACAGGAUAGGCUCCAAGCUGGAGAUUACAUCUGAAAUGGCUUACAGACUAAUCCUCGUAAUGCUCAUUUGAGCUGGCUGAAAGCAGCCUGCUGUGAGCUCGAGGGGGUUUUGAGGUUCCCUGGCUCCUGGCCGGGAUAUCUGCAGCCGGCCAUCUCUGCAGUAACUGGUUCCUCCUGGGCUGACAGCAGACAGCAUCCCAAGUGGAAAAGGGCUGCGCUCAGAGCUGCUCCCAGCAAUCUGGCACCGUGCCGGGCACCAGGCCUCCUGGCCAGCCCGGGUCUCUGUGGUUUAACCCGGCUCCCAUCCCUGCCUCUGGGGCCAUUCCCCAAUCAAAGGCUUGCUCUGCUACGCACUACAGCUGCUGCUGCAAGAGGUGAGGGGGGGUCUCACCCCCACCCUGCUCACCAAAACAACAGAAACGGGCGUAAAAGAAAACCAUCAUUCAACAUUUAUGUAAUUACACAAAGUGGGAAAGUGUCUCAGAUUACACACUGCUGCGCCGUAUCAACCCUCCGGCACCACCAGCAGGAGCAGCCUUCCCAGCGGGUCUUCCUUAGCAGCGCUGGCUGGCAUGGGAUGGCCAAAGGUUCAAGACCUUCACCUCCCUCUGUGGUUUUUUUUGGCGAGGAAAACUUAGACUCACCCAACGAGCUAACAGGCUCCCUAACCCACCUGGUGUGGGGCUGCCUUCCCAGAGCACUUGGAGGGCACCAUGUGGUCCCCGUGCAAGAAAACACCAGCACACCCACCACCACACACAGGCGGGCUGUAGGCAGCACUUGUCUCGGGAUGCUCAAAGGCCAGCUGUGUUCUGGAUGUCCCAGCUGAGCUGCAGUAACCCUACUCUUAGCUGAUGGCUCUUAAGACCCUUCCUUGUUUGAUAACACUGUGACCUAGAGAAGGGGCAAAUGCCAGGGCACAGCAUGCGUCUGUCACAGGAGAGGGCCACCAAGCCGAUGGCUUUCCCACUGACCAUGGAGGCAAACCAGUCUUUGCGGGAAGUGGCACACAUCAUCCCAGAGCUGGCUGGAGUUUGGGCUUCCUGUGGAGGGAGGUGUUCUCCAAACACACCACCUUCCUGUCAGCUGGAUGAUCUCAUCUCCAGUUCAAGGAUUCAUCGUACCUGCUGUGGUCCCACCAUGGUGAUGAGCGUUUGAGCUGGGGUGCAACAGCAAGGUGGAGGGCAUCCUCCACCCAGAGGCUGUCA
Long non-coding RNA from Egretta garzetta (little egret), 2652 nucleotides. RefSeq lists it as uncharacterized. The transcript has 5 exons. The record is from RefSeq and is a predicted model, not a curated record. NCBI's taxonomy places the organism in Eukaryota, Metazoa, Chordata, Aves, Pelecaniformes, Ardeidae.